Molecule: ribosomal RNA, 465 nt
Filed under: Vreelandella stevensii
Lineage: Bacteria; Pseudomonadati; Pseudomonadota; Gammaproteobacteria; Oceanospirillales; Halomonadaceae
Description: partial 16S ribosomal RNA
Rfam family: Bacterial small subunit ribosomal RNA
Source: RNAcentral
CCUACGGGUGGCAGCAGUGGGGAAUAUUGGACAAAGGGCGAAAGCCUGAUCCAGCCAUGCCGCGUGUGUGAAGAAGGCCUUCGGGUUGUAAAGCACUUUCAGUGGGGAAGAAAGCCUUGGGGCUAAUACCCUCGAGGAAGGACAUCACCCACAGAAGAAGCACCGGCUAACUCCGUGCCAGCAGCCGCGGUAAUACGGAGGGUGCGAGCGUUAAUCGGAAUUACUGGGCGUAAAGCGCGCGUAGGCGGUCUGAUAAGCCGGUUGUGAAAGCCCCGGGCUCAACCUGGGAACGGCAUCCGGAACUGUCAGGCUAGAGUGCAGGAGAGGAAGGUAGAAUUCCCGGUGUAGCGGUGAAAUGCGUAGAGAUCGGGAGGAAUACCAGUGGCGAAGGCGGCCUUCUGGACUGACACUGACGCUGAGGUGCGAAAGCGUGGGUAGCAAACAGGAUUAGAUACCCCAGUAGUC